RNAcentral lists this ribosomal RNA (231 nucleotides) under Holcoponera relicta. Its description in RNAcentral is "partial large subunit ribosomal RNA". The record is from RNAcentral. Lineage: Eukaryota; Metazoa; Arthropoda; Insecta; Hymenoptera; Formicidae.
GAAUUUUAUAUAAUUUUUUAUAAAAAAAUAAAUUAUUUGAUGUAGAAAUUAAAAAAUUAUAUUUUAUUGGGAGGAUAAAUAAAUUAAUGAAACUUUUUUAUAUAGAUUAAUAAACAUAGAUAUAUGAAUAAUAGAUUAAUUUUUUAAAAUAUAAAAAUUAAAUUAGAAUUAAUUACCUUAGGGAUAACAGCGUAAAAUUUUUAGAGAGAUCAUAUUUAUAAAAAUGUUUGC